This 622-nucleotide ribosomal RNA is filed under the name cf. Cystosporogenes sp. HEM-2006A. RNAcentral's name for it is "bacterial SSU rRNA". It matches the Rfam family "Microsporidia small subunit ribosomal RNA", at positions 46 to 701 of the family's 1311-position model. Lineage: Eukaryota; Fungi; Microsporidia; Glugeidae. The record is from RNAcentral.
AGCCAUGCAUGUUUAUGUAAUAAGGACGAAUAGCUCAGUAGAACUGCGAUUAUUUAGUCUGUCUGUAUAGGAUAACUACGUGAAAAUGUAGCUAAGAGGGGACAGAAUAAGACGUAGGACUAUCAGUUAGUUGGUAGUGUAAUGGACUACCAAGACGAUGACGGUUAACGGGGAAUUAGGGUUUUAUACCGGAGAGGGAGCCUGAGAGAUUGCUCCCACGUCCAUGGACGGCAGCAGGCGCGAAAAUUGCCCACUCUUUGCAGGAGGCAGUUAUGAGACGUGAAGAGGAAUGUUUGGUAAAGAGAAACAGGAGAAUUGGAGGGCAAGUUUGGUGCCAGCAGCCGCGGUAAUACCGACUCCAAGAGUGUGUAUGAGAGAUGCUGCAGUUAAAAAGUCCGUAGUCUUAGAAGUGUAAAUUGGGGCGCUUGUGCCAGAUAGAUAUGAUGGAGGAGCCAAUGGGGAACAUAGUAUACCAGGGCGAGAGAUGAAAUGCCUAGACCCCUGGUGGACUGAGCGAGGCGAAAGCGAUGUUCUUGUGGGUGUUUGAUGAUCAAGGACGAAGGCUGGAGGAUCGAAAGUGAUUAGAUACCGCAGUAGUUCCAGCAGUAAAAGAUGCCGACAU